RNAcentral lists this non-coding RNA (24 nucleotides) under Arabidopsis thaliana (thale cress). Lineage: Eukaryota; Viridiplantae; Streptophyta; Magnoliopsida; Brassicales; Brassicaceae. The record is from RNAcentral.
AGACAAACGUCCAAAGCCGCUAUU